GUAUCAAUUGGUUUUAUCUACCAAUAACUAUCAUUGCUCUACAUUAGUGAGAGGAAGAAUGGUUCACAACAUUAGUGAACAUUCAUUGAAGUCGAUAGUCGAAAUCUUUGUAAAGUCCACGUGUCGAAACAUAAACCAGGUCAUACGAAACCCAAUCCAGCAUGUCCAAUGCCCAAAAUCAUCGUCCACCACAUGGCUCAUAACAAUUGGUUUAAAGCCAUAUCCAACUUAUCCGAAAAUGGCAGAUAAGGCAUGUGUGUGCCCCAAACCAAUCUACAUCACAUAAACAACGAACAAAAUAAUUGGACCAAACAUUAAAAAAAAAUAUAAUCCCACAUUUCGAUACUUACCUCAUUUUUGAAAGACAUUUGGGUUGCAAUGGCACAAGCAAUGGCAUCGAUGACUGGUUUACGUGGCUCUUCACAAGCUGUGUUGGAAGGUAGUCUCCAACUCAGCGGCCAAACCCGGUUGAACGUUGCUAGCACCAACAGGGUGGCUGUGGCUAGACCUGGUUUUACCGUUAGAGCUCAACAGGUCCCUGCCGAGCCUGAAACUGGACGCAGAGCUGUGCUGGGUCUUGUUGCUGCUGGUUUGGCUACUGGCUCCUUUGCUCAAGCUGUGCUUGCUGAUGCACGAAGCAUCAAGGUUGGCCCGCCUCCACCACCCUCCGGUGGAUUGCGUAAGUCUUCUUCAAUUAUCCUUUCAAAUCAUCACUUUACUUGCUUCGAUUACAGCUAGUAUUUAACUCCUAAGCUAAUGCUAUUAGCUUAAAUUGGCUAUUCAGACAUGAUUGAUAUCUUCAUAAUACUUUGAAGAUAUAAUUAAAAUGUUUUGAAGUUUGAAAUGGAUUUAAAAUAUGGAUUGUAGUGAAAAAGAGUAACUAUAUUAUGGAUACUCUUAUACUAAGAGCUAGAUAACAUUUUGCAUCUUUUACUAAAAAAUGGACAAGUUAAACCAUAUAUAUUAGAUUAAAGAGUAAAUUAAAUUUUUUAUUAAAAUUGUUAUUGAUUUAUACUAUUAAAAAUUAGCGUGAAUAAUAGAAUAAUCAAAUAGGGACACUUGAUGUGCCACAUGUACAAAAACUAAUUUUUAACACAAAAUGGAUUGAAUUUUUAACAAAAGAACCAAUUUACUGUUUGAGCGUAGAAAGACUAAUUUACUCAUUUUUUAAAUAAAAAAAAUAAAAUGCAAUUCGAUUUUUAAUAUGGAGGACUCCAUUUACUUUUACCUGAAAAAUACAUUUGGUACAAUUAACCCAAUCAUCAGCAUGUGAUAUGGUUCAAUAAUUUGAUAGCCAAACCAUGUUCUUGGCAGCCGGAACUUUGAAUUCCGAUGAGCCAAGAGACCUUGAUCUGGCGUACAAAGAUCGGUUUUUCCUCCAACCAUUGACUCCGGCACAAGCGGCUCAGAGGGCAAAGGAAUCAGCCAAAGACAUCCUUGGUGUCAAGACCUUGAUCGACAAAAAAGCAUGGCCCUAUGUCAUGAAUGACCUUCGUCUCAAGGCUGAGUACCUCCGCUUUGACCUUAAAACUGUUAUUUCUUCCAAGCCCAAAGAUGAAAAGAAAUCUCUCGAUGAACUCACUAAAAAGCUCUUCAAUACCAUUGAUGGAGUAAGUUUUGAAGUAUACAGAUUAAUUUAUAUUAUUUAACGAAAUAUUAUAACUUACCAUUCUGAUAUGAAUUUUUUUUUUCCGUGUAGCUUGACCAUGCAGCCAAGAUCAAGAGCACCCCUGAAGCAGAAAAGUACUAUGCCGAGACUGCAUCAGCUUUGAAUGAAGUUAUUGCCAAGCUUGGCUAAGGGAAUUGUUGUAUUUUAAUGUAAGCAUUGUUGAUCGUUUGUAGAGAAACUUUC
Molecule: long non-coding RNA, 1852 nt
Filed under: Gossypium barbadense (sea-island cotton)
Lineage: Eukaryota; Viridiplantae; Streptophyta; Magnoliopsida; Malvales; Malvaceae
Description: long non-coding RNA (GBAR_LNC008690)
Source: RNAcentral